CCUGAAACCAGGAGACUGGGUCCUCAUUAAGGAUCACUGGAGAAAGCACUGGAAGCAGAGACGCUACACGGGGCCCUUCCAAGUACCCCUGACCACGGAGACGGCAGUAAGGUGGAAGGGAAAGCAACGUGGGUCCACGCCAGCCACUGCAAACGCAUCCCGGAUCCAGGAGGCGAAGGAGCACAUCCAUCUGGUUCCGGUUAAGGGGUUGCAGGGUGGAGAGCCCUCCCCCACUGCAGUGUUCCAAGACACCAACGGGCCCAGCAGAGAUGGCAGAGACGGCAGGGACGGCAGAGACGACGGCCACCCGGAGAACAGCGAUAAAAGACAGAUCUCCAGCGCCAAAGAACACUUAGGAAGCAUGGUUGGAGCCUGAGAAUGAACAUGUGCAUAUCACUGACGCUGGCAACAUUUGUGCUGAUUCCCCUCACGAUCAAUGAACUACAACCUCCUUAUGUGAACAUCACGGAUUCCAGCCUUUCCACCUCUCCAAUAGAGAAUUUCAGGAAGUUUCCACUGUCCAGCAAAACAAUGCGACGAGACAGAGUGUUUGCUCUACACAAUCGAACAUGAUGCAUGGGUUAAAAUAGAAAGUCACUUAAAUGAAAUUGUGUAUGUUGCCAGGUUGGGAGAAGAAUAUGUACUGUGUGGGUGCCCGGAAGAUUUGGUUUAGGAGAUCCACCAUUCUGGUGCAGUAAACCACGAUCGUGUCAGGAGAUACCAGCCCACACUGGCUCCAGCAACUGGAGGGAGGCAUGCAAAAGAACUUACCGGCCUGUCAGCGAGACACAGCCUAAAACAGUACCACCUGAAAUCAUUUACGAGGCCGUUAAACCACAGGCCCUGACCUCCUGCAGGCCAGAACAGCCCCCACCAAAGCAACUUGGAGGCGAGUGUUGAUCUCUCUCAAUUGUCCGAGAGGGGGGACUGAGAAGGAGGGUUGUAAAGUUUACAUGUCACGGCUGAGCACGCCGCACUUAGGUCGCUGGUCAGUCCUGGACUCGGAGGAUUUUAGGACUCAGACAAACGACACUUGCACGGUGACUCUAAGCCCUAAAUAUGACACGAGUGGGGAAUACCGUUCUGGUGCGCUCAACCUGCAGACUGUACAACAGAACCAGCCCAUUUCACUCGGUUAGAUUGGCAGUAUGCGUGCAACAUAUGCCCAUUUCAUCUAGAGCACCUAUGCUGGUUCCUGUUCCAUUCACGGAAGCCGACUGGGAUGUCAUGGGGUGGCCUGAGCUAUCUCAUCGAUUUGUGAGUAAUGAUGAAGACUGUUACACUCCUCCACUGCACACGGCGACAACAGCGCAAAGCACAGUUGCCUAUGGAGGUGAAAAGGGGGAAGUUGUAUGUUUUGCAGUUAAGCGGUUCAAUCAUGAAAAUAGACCUAUAGAUAUUAAUUAAUUAAUUAUAGGUAUUAAUUUAAUAAUAUUAAAGUGAUGUUGGUUAGAUUCCGGUCCAUCCCUUAACCAACGUUAUCACUUUCUAGGUGGUUCCUCUCUAGGUACGAGUGACUGUAGUAAAUUACAUCAAACACAUGGUACUACAAAAUAGAAUGGCUCUGGACCUCGUUCUGGCCUCACAAGGCUUGGUAUGCAAAGUGAUUCAUACUGUAUGUUGCGCUUACAUCUCCGAUGCAACAUCAUCAGUUUAUGAUGUGGUGGCAGACACAGAACGGGGCAGUAAGGAAUUGCAUGACCACGACUGGAAUCCGUUUGGGGAAAUACAGGCAUUUGUUGGAUCAUAGGGACCUUCUCUCUUCAAGGAACUGCUAUGGGAAUUAGGGGGCAUUAAUCUGUCUGUAAUUGUUAUAACCCUAAUUGUAACUGUUUUAAAGCUCUUGUAAGGAAGGUUGUUAGCACUCAUGUAUCAGUUGAACACACAAGUACUACUAUACGGUGUCCGGUUCAGAAAUGGACUCCAUAUCCAUACACCAUAUCCGGAUAGCUCUGACAGUGAUGAUGAGUGUGAGGAUUGUGUGUAACUAGACAGCAUGUAUGGUGUUAAUGUUUAGCAAGAGUUUUCAAAGUACUUAGAAGUUAAUGAUGUGAUGUUCUGAAUCUUCGUGAAUUUACACCACUGAUGUGUGUUCUAAGAGGUUUUUUUGUUGUUUAAUUUUCUUUCUUAAUUUCGAUUUGGUUGUUGUUUAGAGUUUCUUAAGUUGAUUCCUGAUUGUCUAAAAAUGACAAAAAGAGAGGGAUGUUGGGGGAAAAUUGUUGAGCCUGCGUGGGGUGAGGCUCUCAGGAAUGUUACCUUUGAUGUGAGCCGGUGACUUAAGGCAGUCCAGGGUGAGAUAAGACACAGAUGAAAACAUGCGUGCCCUGACUGACCUUUUAGAUGUUGUUGAUUGUCUGGGUCCAUAAAGGGAGGGUCACAGGGUCACCCCUACAUCAUCUGCUACUUUUCCCACAUUCCUCUUGAGGGGUGGGCUGUCCUGUCCUGAGGCAGCACAAACCCCCCUAAGUGUAUAAAACCUCCUGUUCUCCUCUUUGACUUUGUCAGAUCUUCCUGCUCCUUUUGGGGGAAGGAACCUCUGUCCCUUUUCAGCUGAAUUGUAGUCAUUUGACCUCUGUCUGUGCUUACGACUUGUGCUGAUGAUUUCUAUAUUCUUUAUCUUUUUCCUAUACUCUAGUUAGUAAUAAAUACUUAAUCACAAAGCAAGCUCAAGAUACUUUUGAUUUCUCACAUGGGCUAAAUCCACAAAUUUCCACCACACU
Long non-coding RNA from Gasterosteus aculeatus aculeatus (three-spined stickleback), 2720 nucleotides. Lineage: Eukaryota; Metazoa; Chordata; Actinopteri; Perciformes; Gasterosteidae. The record is from Ensembl.